Molecule: ribosomal RNA, 446 nt
Filed under: uncultured cyanobacterium
Lineage: Bacteria; Bacillati; Cyanobacteriota
Description: bacterial SSU rRNA
Rfam family: Bacterial small subunit ribosomal RNA
Source: RNAcentral
AGAGUUUGAUCAUGGCUCAGGAUGAACGCUGGCGGUCUGCUUAACACAUGCAAGUCGAACGGAAUCUUUCGGGAUUUAGUGGCGGACGGGUGAGUAACGCGUGAGAAUCUGCCUUCAGGUUCGGGACAACAGUUGGAAACGGCUGCUAAUACCGGAUGUGCCGAGAGGUGAAAGCUUAAGUGCCUGGAGAUGAGCUCGCGUCUGAUUAGCUAGUAGGAGUGGUAACGGCACCCCUAGGCGACGAUCAGUAGCUGGUCUGAGAGGACGAUCAGCCACACUGGGACUGAGACACGGCCCAGACUCCUACGGGAGGCAGCAGUGGGGAAUUUUCCGCAAUGGGCGAAAGCCUGACGGAGCAAGACCGCGUGGGGGAAGAAGGCUCUUGGGUCGUAAACUCCUUUUCUCUGGGAAGAACAAAAUGACGGUACCAGUUGAUCAGCUCGAUU